UGGGAUUCCUCAUCAAGUAGGUUGCCAG
RNAcentral lists this non-coding RNA (28 nucleotides) under Rattus norvegicus (Norway rat). Lineage: Eukaryota; Metazoa; Chordata; Mammalia; Rodentia; Muridae. The record is from RNAcentral.